AACAUUGCCGGUCUGCGGAAAUAAUGGACAGGAAAAUAUCAGAUAAUAACUCUCAAAAUUGACAAACUAUCCCAGCAUGCCUACUCUGGCCUCUUGUUGCUUCUUCUACCCAGAGUCCUAGAUAAGUGGUUAGAUGAUCGAACCUUGAUUGAACCUAAACAAUCAGGGAUGGAGACUCAAAGAACGAUAAGUUGGUUGAUACCUACAAUCUUGCGCAUCCUCACAGGGCAACGACGCCACUAUCCAGUGCCCAGUUAGGGUCAUAUCAGCGCACUGCCUCACCAGAAGAUAUUCAUUAUUAUCAGCGUAGAAUCGGAUCUUGUAUCUACGCAGCGGUAAUGACCCGUCCAGAUAUUGCCUACGUCGUUGGCUAGCUAGCUACCUCCAUGUCCAACCUGUCUGCAGGCCAUUCUACAGAAAUCGACCGCGUUAUCGCCCAACUACGAGAUAUGAAGAAUCUAGCUAUCCAAUAUAGCGCAGAACCAGCACUAUCGCCAUAGUAGCACUGCAAGUACGACGGCUGAUGCGGGUUAAGGCCAUUGCUAUCACUCAACGGACUGUCUCUCGGUUUUCAAGAGCUAGCUUAUCGGGCUCAUAACUGUCUGAAAUGGAUGAUUUUCCAAAAUAUUGCCACAAAGUUACUGAAUAUCAAGUUGAAUUGUAUUCUAAUAAUGAUUUCUGAUUAUUGACACGAAAAGAUAGCAGUAUUUAUAAGAAUAGAAUGGUCAUAAGCGAG
This 736-nucleotide small RNA is filed under the name Histoplasma capsulatum var. duboisii H88. Its description in RNAcentral is "Histoplasma capsulatum H88 hypothetical RNA". The record is from RNAcentral. Lineage: Eukaryota; Fungi; Ascomycota; Eurotiomycetes; Onygenales; Ajellomycetaceae.